CUACGGGUUGCUGCAGUGGGGAAUAUUGCGCAAUGGGGGAAACCCUGACGCAGCGACGCCGUGUGAGUGAUGAAGGUUUUCGGAUCGUAAAGCUCUGUCAGGUGGGAAGAAUAAAGGGUGUGUGAAUAAUGCACUCUGAUGACGGUACCACCAGAGGAAGCACCGGCUAGCUCCGUGCCAGCAGCCGCGGUAAUACGGAGGGUGCAAGCGUUGUUCGGAAUUACUGGGCGUAAAGCGCGUGUAGGCGGGCGUGCAGGUCAGAUGUGAAAUCCCUCGGCUCAACCGAGGAAGUGCAUCUGAAACCGCAUGUCUUGAGUACGAGAGAGGCAGAUGGAAUUCCCAGUGUAGAGGUGAAAUUCAUAGACAUUGGGAAGAACACCGGUGGCGAAAGCGGUCUGCUGGCUCGAUACUGACGCUGAGGCGCGAAAGCGUGGGGAGCAAACAGGAUUAGAUACCCGAGUAGUC
This 465-nucleotide ribosomal RNA is filed under the name uncultured bacterium. RNAcentral describes it as "partial 16S ribosomal RNA". It matches the Rfam family "Bacterial small subunit ribosomal RNA", at positions 339 to 795 of the family's 1533-position model. The record is from RNAcentral.